AUGGAGGAAACUAGCGCCACCUUGCCCUUGGGAGUGGCAUGCACGACAAAUCUUCAUAGCGUACCAGCCCUCUCAGAGAUUAAUUCUGCUAUGCCUCCUUUUGAUGAAUUCUCUACGCCUAAGAAGAGACAAUGCUUUUCUCUAGAUGGUUCGUUGUAUAAACCUCUGUGUGAUGAUGCACUCAAACCAACAGUAGGCAUGACAUUUGAUGAUAUUGCUGUUGUGGAGACAUUUUAUAAGAAGUAUGCACAUCAUGUGGGAUUUGGUGUCCGUCUUGGAGCACAAAGGCUUGUGAACAAUGUAAUUCAGUGGAAGCGUUUCUUAUGCUCAAGGGAGGGAUACCGGUCCACGAAAGGUACUUAUGUUGUUAAUUGCUUGAACACAAAUACUUCAAGUAAAAGACGCAAGGUGAAAUUAACUAGGUGUGGAUGUGAUGCUCACAUUUAUGUCAAUCGGGAUGAUAAUGGGAAAUAUAAGAUAGCUUCAAUGGUUGAACACCACAAUCACGAACUAGUGUCUCCUAGCAAGCAACACUUGAUUAGAUCAAACAGGAAAGUAAGUGAGAAGGUGAAGUCAACACUAUUUGAUUGCCACAAAGCUAGCAUCGGCCCAGCCCAAGCAUAUAGGCUACUCCAAGUUGGUGAAGGGGGGUUUCCAGAUGUGGGAUGCAUGAAGAAAGACGUGCAGAAUUACUAUUCUAGGUUCAAAAAUAAAAUCAAGAAUUGUGAUGCUCAAAUGCUAGUGGACCAAUUUGGUAGAUUGAAGGAACUCAACCCUGGUUUUUUCUUUGACUAUGAAGUUGACGAAGUUGGUACAUUGUUGCGUUUGUUUUGGGCAGAUGCAACUAGCAGGAAAAACUACAAGCAUUUCCAUGAUGUGUUGUCCUUUGAUUCCACAUAUAGCACUAAUCAGUAUGACUACAUUUUUGCGCCCUUCACGGGCAUCAACCAUCAUAUGCAAAGUGUCUUCUUAGGGGGUGGGUUCUUACUCAAUGAGACAACUGAGGACUACUUAUGGUUGUUUGACAUAUUCCUUAAAUGCAUGGAUGGGGUUGCGCCUAGUGUUAUUAUAACAGAUGAGUGUGGUAGCAUGAGGAACGCUAUCAAGGCACUUCUACCCCAUACCACGCAUCGGUUGUGCAUGUGGCACAUUAUGAAGAAGGUUCCUGAGAAGGUCUCUCUCGAAUUGAGAAGUGAUGAAUUAUUCUACAAGAGGUUGGACUCGUGUGUGUGGAAUUCUGAAACACCUACAGAAUUCGAAGAAAGUUGGAAGUCUCUAAUAUCAGAUUUUGGCUUGCAAGAAAAUGAGUGGUUUGCAAAAUGUUACCUGAUUCGUGGGUCAUGGGUGCCAGCAUAUUUCAUGGACAUUGCCCUAGCUGGUAUUCUCAGAACCACCUCUAGGUCAGAGAGUGAAAACUCAUUUUUCAAGAAUUUCAUCCGUCGGAAGCUUGCAUUUGUUGAGUUUUGGCUUAGGUUCGACACAGCCUUGAAAUGUCAGAGGCAAGAGGAGUUGAUUGCUGACCACACAAGCGUACAUACAACACCUAGAUUGCAGACAUGUUGGGAAGUGGAAAGACAGGGCAGCAUACUUUUCACUCAUGAGGUCUUUGCCUUGUUUCAAUCAGAGGUACUUGCUGCUAGAGAGCAUUGUGAUGUCCAGGACACUAUGACUGUGGGAGAGCUGAAGAUUGUUUCCAUUAGUGAUCAAAGUCAUCGGAAAAACAAGGUAAGAGACGUGCAUUUAGAGACAACAACCAUGAUUGCUAAAUGUUCUUGCAAGCUCUUUGAGUCCAAGGGCAUUGUGUGCCGCCAUGUCAUACGCGUCUUGAGGGGUGCAAAGAUAAAUGAGCUUCCAACCUUUUAUGUACUCAAAAGAUGGGAGAAAAUGUGCAAAAGGGAUAUUGUAUUUGACAACGAAGGGAAUGCACUAGAAGAUAAUCCGAUUGACUGCAUUGACAUGGAUACUAGAAGAAAGAUCUCGAUGGCACGGAACAAAUUAGAAGAUAUCAUCCGAUGUGCUAAAAAAUCGAGCGUAGCACUUGACUCACUCAAUAUGGGUCUGUGCAAUCUUGAAUCUGUUGUCUUGCAGUCUGCCUCCGUUGUUCCUCAAACUACACAAGAAGAACAAGAAUCAUACGUCGGUAGCACCAUGCCUGUCCAAGUUGAUAUCCUAACACCGACCGCUGUCAAUGCGAGGGGUACAUGCUCACGAAUUAAGGGCCACAGAGACAAUGAAAAGAAGGCAGGGUCAAAUAAGAAGAAAUUAGGGGUUACUCUACGGGUACCGCGCACUUGCAGAACAUGCAAGGAAGUUGUGUUACAUGACAGUCGUAUCUGUCCGAAGAAAAAAUAA
RNAcentral lists this ribosomal RNA (2352 nucleotides) under Triticum aestivum (bread wheat). RNAcentral's name for it is "partial small subunit ribosomal RNA". Lineage: Eukaryota; Viridiplantae; Streptophyta; Magnoliopsida; Poales; Poaceae. The record is from RNAcentral.